CAGUCGCCGCGGUAAUACGUAGGGGGCAAGCGUUAUCCGGAAUUACUGGGUGUAAAGGGAGCGUAGACGGUUAAACAAGUCUGAAGUGAAAUGCCGGGGCUCAACCCCGGAGCUGCUUUGGGAACUGUAGAACUGGAGUGUCGGAGGGGUAAGCGGAAUUCCCAGUGUAGCGGUGAAACGCGUAGAUAUAUGAAGGAACACCAGUGGCGAAGGCGACUCUCUGGUCUGUAACUGACGCUGAGGCUCGAAAGCGUGGGUAGCAAACAGGAUUAGAUACCCCAGUAGUCCCUGUCUCUUAUAA
This 301-nucleotide ribosomal RNA is filed under the name uncultured bacterium. Its description in RNAcentral is "partial 16S ribosomal RNA". It matches the Rfam family "Bacterial small subunit ribosomal RNA", at positions 509 to 809 of the family's 1533-position model. The record is from RNAcentral.